Teleopsis dalmanni is the source of this 276-nucleotide long non-coding RNA. RefSeq lists it as uncharacterized. Lineage: Eukaryota; Metazoa; Arthropoda; Insecta; Diptera; Diopsidae. The record is from RefSeq and is a predicted model, not a curated record. The transcript has 4 exons.
AUAAGCAUUUAAUUAUUAAAUGUCAAAAUUAUCGAUUUACUGAAGGCGAUUGUCAGCACUGCUCCGCAUCGCUGCGAAGCAAAGCUGUUCAGCCAAGCAAUUUCCUGUUCAUCGUUCUUUCGUUCUCGAGUCGCCUUUGUGUGAAGAAAGAAAAAUGAGAGCUAAGUGGCGUAAGAAGCGUAUGCGUAGGUUGAAGCGUAAACGCAGAAAGAUGCGUGCAAGGUCCAAAUAAACCCGUAUUAAGUUGUUAAGGUCUUGUUUUAUACAUCUCCAAAC